CUCUGUGACUCCUACGGGAGGCAGCAGUGGGGAAUAUUGCACAAUGGGCGCAAGCCUGAUGCAGCCAUGCCGCGUGUGUGAAGAAGGCCUUCGGGUUGUAAAGCACUUUCAGUUGUGAGGAAGGUGGUGUCGUUAAUAGCGGCAUCAUUUGACGUUAGCAACAGAAGAAGCACCGGCUAACUCCGUGCCAGCAGCCGCGGUAAUACGGAGGGUGCGAGCGUUAAUCGGAAUUACUGGGCGUAAAGCGCAUGCAGGUGGUUUGUUAAGUCAGAUGUGAAAGCCCGGGGCUCAACCUCGGAACUGCAUUUUGAAACUGGCAGACUAGAGUACUGUAGAGGGGGUAGAAUUUCAGGUGUAGCGGUGAAAUGCGUAGAGAUCUGAAGGAAUACCGGUGGCGAAGGCGGCCCCCCUGGACAGAUACUGACACUCAGAUGCGAAAGCGUGGGGAGCAAACAGGAUUAGAUACCCUGGUAG
RNAcentral lists this ribosomal RNA (474 nucleotides) under uncultured bacterium. RNAcentral's name for it is "bacterial SSU rRNA". It matches the Rfam family "Bacterial small subunit ribosomal RNA", at positions 328 to 793 of the family's 1533-position model. The record is from RNAcentral.